UAACCUGCCUGGUAGCGGGGGAUAACUAUUGGAAACGAUAGCUAAUACCGCAUAAUAUCUUUAAUUGCAUGAUUGAAGUUUGAAAGAUGCAACUGCAUCACUACCAGAUGGACCUGCGUUGUAUUAGCUAGUAGGUGAGGUAAAGGCUCACCUAGGCGACGAUACAUAGCCGACCUGAGAGGGUGAACGGCCACACUGGGACUGAGACACGGCCCAGACUCCUACGGGAGGCAGCAGUAGGGAAUCUUCGGCAAUGGGGGCAACCCUGACCGAGCAACGCCGCGUGAGUGAAGAAGGUUUUCGGAUCGUAAAGCUCUGUUGUAAGAGAAGAACGUGUGUGAGAGUGGAAAGUUCACACAGUGACGGUAACUUACCAGAAAGGGACGGCUAACUACGUGCCAGCAGCCGCGGUAAUACGUAGGUCCCGAGCGUUAUCCGGAUUUAUUGGGCGUAAAGCGAGCGCAGGCGGUUGGAUAAGUCUGAAGUUAAAGGCUGUGGCUCANCCAUAGUAUGCUUUGGAAACUGUUCAACUUGAGUG
Molecule: ribosomal RNA, 538 nt
Filed under: uncultured bacterium
Lineage: Bacteria
Description: bacterial SSU rRNA
Rfam family: Bacterial small subunit ribosomal RNA
Source: RNAcentral